Molecule: ribosomal RNA, 422 nt
Filed under: uncultured bacterium
Lineage: Bacteria
Description: bacterial SSU rRNA
Rfam family: Bacterial small subunit ribosomal RNA
Source: RNAcentral
UAGGGAAUCUUGGGCAAUGGAGGGAAAUCUGAACAAGCCAUGCCGCGUGCAGGAAGACGGCCCUCUGGGUUGUAAACUGCUUUUAUUCGGGAAUAAACCACAUUACGUGUAGUGUGCUGAAUGUACCGAAGGAAUAAGGAUCGGCUAACUCCGUGCCAGCAGCCGCGGUAAUACGGAGGAUCCAAGCGUUAUCCGGAUUUAUUGGGUUUAAAGGGUGCGUAGGCGGCUUAUUAAGUCAGGGGUGAAAGACGGUGGCUCAACCAUCGCAGUGCCCUUGAUACUGAUGAGCUUGAAUGGACUAGAGGUAGGCGGAAUGUGACAAGUAGCGGUGAAAUGCAGAGAUAUGUCACAGAACACCGCUUGAGAAGGCAGCUUAAUACGGGUUAAUUGACGCUGAGGCACGAAAGCGGGGGGAUAAAAAA